ACGAAAAAAAUUGGGGAGAGAUGUGUAACUCCUUAAGUUUUUUUUUCAAUAUUACAUUCAAUAUUCUGCAUUAACAUCUAUAUCACAGAAACUCAAGUGAGUCAUAGAGCGCAGCCGUCAUUGGGGUAGAAUAAUUAGAUAUAACAUUUCGGUUAUAUCCACAAAGAUUAAUCGGAUCCUUGACGCUUUAAUUCCAUAAUUGUCUUUUUCUACUCCUAGUUUUAUUCUUUUUUUAAAUGUUUUAGUUCCAUUAUAUAUCUAAAUGGUUAAUUGCAUUCUAACUAUUUAGCCAUAAGUAUAAGCACAUUACAUAUUCUUUUUCUAUGUGCUUACUUAUGAAAUUUUAGAAAACAAGAUUCCUUUUUAGAAUUCUUUGUAAAGUCUUAAAAGACAACCUUAUUUGUCUUAAUUCAAGAGAUCCAUUUCAAACACUCAAUUUGACCGGAGAAGACAGGAGAGGUAAACACGAGUGAUUGAGAUGAAGUGAUUUCUUUUUUUCCAUUAACAUCCUUUGCAGAUAUGUCACAGUUUAGUAAAACCAACCGACCUAUGACCUUUGAAGAACGGAUGGAGACUAGAAUGGAUAACAUGUACAACAGAUUGAACUUAGCUAUUGAAGAUAUAGCAACAAGAAUGGAUGAGAGGGAUGGAAGAAGGAACCGUAGUCAUCCCAGACGCCGACACCGCCAGGAUGAUGAUGAGUCACAUGGCGACAAUAGUGAAGUCGAUAGAAGAGAAAUCCGAAGAGAAGAUGAUGACAUCAGAUCCAUCAAGAUGCAGAUACCUCCAUUCAGAUGAAGGGACGAUGUAGAGGUGUAUCUCAAGUGGGAACGGAAGGUAAAGUUGAUCUUUGAUUGCCACAACUAUAGUGAAGCCAAGAAAGUAAAGCUAACAGCUGUCGAAUUCACAAAUUAUGCACUUGUUUGGUGAGAUCAAGUGACUGCUCUUAGGAGAAAAGAUGGAGACCAACCUCUGUCCACUUGGAGAGAGAUGAAGUCUACUAUGAAAAAGAAAUUUGUCCCAUCUUAUUAUGAUAGAGAAUUGCACCAGAAGCUCCAAAGAUUGACCCUGGGAUCUCUCUCGGUGGAAGAUUACCAUAAGGAGAUGGAGAUGGCAAUGAUCAGGGCCAAAGUUUAUGAGAGCCCAGACGCCACCAUGCCUAGAUUUCUCAGUGGUCUGAAUAGGGAGAUUGUCAAUGUUGUGGAACUGCAUCACUACAUAAAUCUGAAUGAGAUGGUAUAGAUAGUUAUGAAAAUUGAGAAACAUCUAAAGUAUAGAAGUUCCUCCAUAAGUAAUUCUCAAUCUAUCCCUCAGUUUAGUUCUAGAUGGCCUAAAAAGGAAGAAAGAAAGAAACUUGAAGAAAGGAAGUAACAACCCAACUCUAGCGAAUCUAAACGUAACCCUAAACCACCUACUGCUAUUCAAAGACCAAGUUCUAUUAAAUGUUUUAAGUGUCUUGGAGUUGGACACAUUGCAUCACAAUGUCCCAACAAAAACCUCAUGUUACUACGAGACGAUGGUGAGAUAGAGACUGCCAAUGAAUACAGUAGUGAUGAUGAUAGUAGAAUAUCACUAGAUGAUUGUGAAGACAAUUUAGCAACCCCAAAACAGGAUGAGAUAUUGGUUGUCUAGAGAGCCCUAAAUAUGCAAUCCAAAGAGACAGACAACGAUCAAAGAGAGAAUAUCUUCUACACCAGAUGUCAUGUGAAUGAGAAGAUAUGCAGUCUGAUCAUAGAGGGAGGCAGUUGUGCCAAUGUCGCCAGUACUUUGCUAGUUGAAGAGUUAGGGUUAUUUUGUACUAAACACCCUAAUCUUUAUAGACUACAUUAGUUCAAUGAGUGUGGAUAAGUUAGGGCACAUAAACAAGUCAAGAUUCUCUUCUCCAUAGGCAAGUACAAAUAUGAGGUAUGCUAUGAUGUCAUUCUCAUACACGCCAGUCAUAUCUUGAUUGGAUGACCAUGACAGUAUGAUAGACAAAUACAUCAGGACGGGUUCAAGAAUCAAUACUCUUUACGUCUAGAUGACCUAAAACACAUUUUGACAACUCUAUCUCCAAAAGAGAUCUAUGCUGAUCAAAUCAAAAUAAAAAAUCCUUUGAAAGAAUACUAAGAAAAAGAAAAAGAAAAAGAAAGAAAAGAGACCGAAAAAAAAAAAUGACCCACUGAAAGAAAAAGAGGCUGAAAGAAAUAAAGAAAGUCUAUUGAACGUAAAAGAGGCCCAAAAGAACAAUAAAAAAUGCCCCAUGAGAGAAAGUGAGAGAGAAAAAAGAAAGAAUGUUUAUAUGUGAGGGAGAGAGAAGUGAGGAGAGCGAUUUGUGAGAAGUAAAGCUUAAUUGUACUUCGUACAAGGAAGCCUAUCUAACGUUUUCUGACCUUAACACUUCUUUACUUAGUUCUAUUCUAUCUCUUUUACAAGAAUAUGAAUAUGUAUUCUCAGAGGAGAUUCCGCAUGGUCUAACACCGCUACGAGAGAUUGAACAUCAAAAUUGACUUUAUCCCUGGAGCUUCAAUUCCCAACCGUCCAGUCUAUCGAAAUAAUCCUGAUGAGACAAAGGAACUUCAGCGGCAAGUGAAGGAGUUGUUAGGUAAGGAACAUGUAAGAGAAAGUUUGAGCCUUUGUGCUGUUCCAGUGUUACUGGUACCUAAGAAAGAUGGUUCUUGGAGGAUGUGUGUGGAUUGCCGAGCUGUCAACAAAAUUAUGGUGAAGUAUAGACACCUUAUCCCUAAGUUAGAUGAUAUAUUGGAUAAAUUGAGUGAAUCUACUAUUUUCACUAAGAUAGAUCUUAAGAAUGAAUACCACCAGAUUAGAAUGAAACAUGGAUAUGAGUGAAAAACUGCCUUUAAAACCAAGUAUGGGUUGUAUGAAUGGUUAGUAAUGUCUUUUGGGUUAUCAAAUGCCCCUAGCACCUUCAUGAGACUUAUGAAUCAUUUUUUACGACCUUUUCUAGGUAAAUUUGCAGUAGUUUACUUUGAUAACAUCCUGAUUUACAACAAGUCUUUAGAAUAUCACUUUCAACAAUACGAUUUGUCCUUGAGAUCCUUAAGAAAGAACAGUUGUAUGCGAAUGUUAAGAAGUGUACCUUCUGCAGUGAAAAAUUAAUUUUUUUAGGAUUUGUAGUUAGUGCACAGGGAAUUGAGGUAGAUGAAGAUAAGGUGAAAGUAAUCAGAGAAUGGCCUACUCCGACAUCAGCCAGCGAGGUAAGGAAUUUCCAUAAUUUAGGGAGCUUCUACCGCAUGUUUGUUAGGGAUUUCAGUUCCAUAGCAACACCAUUGAAUGAACUGGUAAAAAAAAAUGUAAAAUUUGUAUGAACUAAAAAACAAGAACAUAUUUUUACUUUAUUGAAAGAUAAAUUAUGUUCUGUACCUAUUUUAGUUUUACCUGACUUUAACAAAACUUUUGAACUUGAAUGUGAUACUUCAGGUAUUGGUAUAGGAGCGAUUCUGAUGUAGGAAGGGCGUCCCGUGGCUUAUUUCAAUGAGAAACUUAGUGGCACACCGUUGAACUACUGAACCUACAACAAGGAGUUGUACGCCUUGGUAAGAGCAUUAGAAGUAUGGCAACACUAUUUAUUGCCAAAGGAAUUCAUGAUCCACACAGACCAUGAAUCCCUAAAAUAUCUGAAAGGUCAAGGUAAACUCAACCGUCGUUACGGUAAGUGAGUCGAGUUCAUAGAAUCUUUCCCCUAUAUAAUCAAGUAUAAACAAGGUAAGCAUUAUAUUGUUGCUAAUGCAUAUCUCGCAGGUAUGCUUCAAUUUCUACACUUACCUUUAAGUUGUUAAGAUUUGAAUAUAUUAAGGAGAUGUAUGCUAAUGAUAAUGAUUUUUUCACUGUUUAUCAUGCACGUGAGCACUCUGCAUUUCAUAAAUUUUAUAGGCAUGAUGAUUUCCUCCUUAGAGAUGGUAAGUUAUGUGUAUCCAACUGUUCACUCAAGGAUUUACUGGUGCGUGAGGCUCACAGUGGGAGAUUGAUGAGGCACUUUGAGGAAAUUCAGGAUACCGAUGGUCAACGGAGAGCAGAACUUGUUAAAGCCAUGUAUGAAAAGGCAGGCAGCACAUCCAAAAGAAGAAUGAAUCCUAUGCACGACACACCAAUAAAGGAAGGAAGCGAGUAAUGUUUCAACCAGGCGAUUGGGUAUGAGUUCAUAUGCGAAAGGAAAGAUUUUCCAAUCAGCAAAAAUCUAAGUUGGACUCUCGAGGAGACAGACCUUUUAAGUUCUAGAAUGUAUCAAUGACAAUGCCUACAAAAUUGAUCUCCCAGGUGAGUACGGUGUGUCUACUACCUUUAAUGUUUCUAACCUUUCCCUUUUUGAUGCAGCUUCAGAUUCGAGAACGAAUCUUUUUGAAGAGGGAGAGGAUGAUGUGAGCAUGGACAUGGGUCGAGUUGGUGGAGAGAAUAUUUCAAUGCCAAGUGGGCCCAUUACAAAAGAGAGAGCUAAAAUAUUAUAACAAGUUUUCCAACUUUUUAUGCAAGCGUGAAUCAAUGAGAAAGAUGGGAUUGGACCCAUUAAAAAAGCCCAAGAAAAGAUGACAACGUGAUCAUUAACCCAAUGGUAUAAUAGUAUAUUAUAUUCACCCCAAGUGCAAGAAAGAAAUAAACAAGGAAAAAAUUCUGCAAGACAUGAAAAAAAAAAAAAUCUCAUGCAAUUUUAUUUCCUAAUCAUAU
Carica papaya (papaya) is the source of this 4662-nucleotide non-coding RNA. NCBI's taxonomy places the organism in Eukaryota, Viridiplantae, Streptophyta, Magnoliopsida, Brassicales, Caricaceae. The record is from RefSeq and is a predicted model, not a curated record.